RNAcentral lists this transfer RNA (32 nucleotides) under Lamprolepis smaragdina. RNAcentral's name for it is "partial tRNA-Ala". Lineage: Eukaryota; Metazoa; Chordata; Lepidosauria; Squamata; Scincidae. The record is from RNAcentral.
AAGGCUUGUAAAACUCUAAUUUACAUCUCCUG